GCCAGGCAUAAUGACUUAUGCCUGUAAUCCCAGCACUUUGGGAGGCUGAGGUGGGUGGAUCACUUGAGGUCAGGAGUUUGAGACCAGCCUGACCAAGAUGGUGAAACCCCAUCUCUA
Molecule: non-coding RNA, 117 nt
Organism: Pan troglodytes (chimpanzee)
Lineage: Eukaryota; Metazoa; Chordata; Mammalia; Primates; Hominidae
Rfam family: Metazoan signal recognition particle RNA
About the family: The signal recognition particle (SRP) is a universally conserved ribonucleoprotein. It is involved in the co-translational targeting of proteins to membranes. The eukaryotic SRP consists of a 300-nucleotide 7S RNA and six proteins: SRPs 72, 68, 54, 19, 14, and 9.
Source: Rfam